AUAACACAACAGCUACUCACGUCACUCGACAUGUAAAUGGAUCGAUCGUGCUGGCAAUUCUACUUCGAGGCAAAGGAGGUUCUGGCCCUGCCUAUGCCUGCGGCUACUGUAAUGAUCGAGCGACCUUGGAGCUCAUGUUCGAAGGCGAUUUGGUGUCAAAAGAUGCUGAUGUCUUUUGAUGAGCCAACCGACUCACUUGUUGUCCGACAAAAGUUGAGGCGGGGGCAAAUAUUGAUGCUGAGUGUUUCCCAGGCAAAUUGGACUGUUAAUGAUAUGAUUUUUUUUCCAUGAUU
Long non-coding RNA from Eucalyptus grandis, 293 nucleotides. RefSeq lists it as uncharacterized. The transcript is spliced from 3 exons. NCBI's taxonomy places the organism in Eukaryota, Viridiplantae, Streptophyta, Magnoliopsida, Myrtales, Myrtaceae. The record is from RefSeq and is a predicted model, not a curated record.